Long non-coding RNA from Dreissena polymorpha, 679 nucleotides. RefSeq lists it as uncharacterized. The transcript is spliced from 3 exons. NCBI's taxonomy places the organism in Eukaryota, Metazoa, Mollusca, Bivalvia, Myida, Dreissenidae. The record is from RefSeq and is a predicted model, not a curated record.
CCCUUGUAAAUCUUUUUGUACAUCAUCUAAAAAAGGGAAUAUAUUGGGAAACACCUGAAAGGAUCCUUAAUUUGUGGAUUGCCCUCCAACAGAAUGAUGUCCGUUCAAUAUUUUAAUAGUUUUAAGCCAGAUCAUCAUGAGACUUUGUGAAUAUUUUUGCGGGCAUUACAUCUCGGCCAAGUUUUAAAACCACCAUCAGAAUUAUUGCCCUUGAGUUAUUAAAAAUUGUCCAAAUUAACCUAGCUUAGGUUUGCAUUAUUGUGGCUUGUUUGAUCAAGGUCAAUGUAACUGUUACUUAAAAUUUAAAAAAAUGUCUCUGCUCAAAAACUUGAGGUGGAUGGAUGUAUUACACUGAGGGGGAUGGAUGUAUUACACUUACAUUGAGGUGGAUGGAUGUAUUACACUUGAGGUGGAUGGAUGUAUUACACUUGAGGUGGAUGGAUGUAUUACACUGAGGUAGAUGGAUGUAUUACACUUACAUUUUAUUUUGUGUGUAGGUAGCUUAACUGCAGUCAUUACUUGAGACUGCACAAUUAUUUUAGUAGAGCAGAUUAAUAUGUUAAAUAUUUAAAACAUGGUUUCAUGGCAUUGCCAUGUUUCUUGUUGUCUCCAUUAUUUUCUGUACCAUCAAUGUAGAACAAAUUUAUUUAUAUAUUUACUCAUGGCGUGGUUUUGUGAC